Molecule: ribosomal RNA, 465 nt
Filed under: uncultured bacterium
Lineage: Bacteria
Description: bacterial SSU rRNA
Rfam family: Bacterial small subunit ribosomal RNA
Source: RNAcentral
CCUANGGGUGGCUGCAGUCGAGGAUCUUUCGCAAUGGGCGAAAGCCUGACGGAGCGACGCUGUGUGAGUGAUGAAGGCCUUCGGGUCGUAAAACUCUUUUGCCUGUGAACAAGAAAAGUACGUGAAUAACGUAUUGAUUUGAGAGUAGCAGGAGAAAAAGCACCGGCUAACUACGUGCCAGCAGCUGCGGUAAUACGUAGGGUGCAAGCAUUAAUCGGAAUUAUUGGGCGUAAAGGGCGCGUAGGCGGAUUGAUAAGUCAGAUGUGAAAUACCAAAGCUCAACUUUGGUGCUGCAUUUGAAACUGUCUCUCUAGAGGAUUGACGGAGAAAGGGGAAUUCCACGUGUAGCGGUGAAAUGCGUAGAUACGUGGAGGAACACCGGUGGCGAAAGCGCCUUUCUAGUUUAGACCUGACGCUGAAGCGCGAGAGCAAGGGGAGCAAACAGGAUUAGAUACCCCANUANUC